GAUUUUUUUCUUGAGUUUUUUUUCCUGGAAUGGAAAGAAGGGAGACCCCGGGUGGGAUUUCAGUCAGCUCGCCCAUCUCUUCUCAGAGAUGGCUGGCAUCCUUGAAAUUUUAAGACAAUUCCCAUACACUGAAGAAAACCAUAUGAAAAUAUUUCAAGAGCAUUUCCUCUUUUCAGCAGGUGUGUCUCAAGGACUGAGAGUUCCCUGUGGUUUUGCAUUGCGGAUGCCAGCCUUUGUCAAGUUCUCUGUGCUUCACUGCACACUUUAUCUCAGGGUUGUGUGGAUUCUCAGAAGCUCCCCAGUCCCGGUCCGCUGGUGGAAGCUCCGGUCACGAUGAGUGUCAGGUGCUGCCUGGGGUAGAAACCAGUGACUACAAAGCUGCAAAGGAAAAGGUAAGAUGAUGCAUCCAGAUAUUCAAGAUUUUGACAGUUGAGGAUUUCCCCUCAUGGUCAUAUAGAUUCAGUAUCUAGUGUCCACACUUAAAUUCCAAGUUAUGUAAAUUCUUAUAGCAGAUGGAGGAAAAGAUGUCUGUUCACACCUAUGUCCUAACUACUAAGCAGGGCUUCAAAACAAACUAGGUAAAGAGGAAAUACCUGCAUCGGUUCUUUCUUAAGAUAACAAAAACAUGCCUGAUGGUGGGGGAAAUGGAGUUAUUUUCAUA
RNAcentral lists this long non-coding RNA (661 nucleotides) under Mustela putorius furo (domestic ferret). RNAcentral describes it as "lncRNA (ENSMPUG00000031829.1)". Lineage: Eukaryota; Metazoa; Chordata; Mammalia; Carnivora; Mustelidae. The record is from RNAcentral.